GAGAGGGGAAAAACACCGUUCUGCUUUGGAAAUGACUAAAGAAAAAUGUGAAAUACUUUAUAAAGUAGUUUUGUGGGAAUGAGGGACAACAACAAAUAAGCCUUAAUCUUCAAUCAACUCACCAUUCUAACAACACAAAACAGCAACUCAACUCCCAAAACCAGAAAUUGAAUUUCUUUCAAACAUAAUAGCUGCUGCAUUCGCAAUACUGUACAUCUCAUAUUGGGAAAUGAAAUCAAGUUUCAAGGUAAGUUACAUGUUUCCCAAAGAUGGAUUCUUUUCAUGUCAACAGAUUUAACUAAUUUCUUCGAUCAAAAUUCAAUAUUUUUCCUAACUCAAGUCUUUUCGUUCUGAUCUUUUUCUUGCAAACAUUUAUAGAAGUUAAAAACUCCAUGUACCUAUAAUGAACUACAGACAAUAAUGGAUUCCCCCCUAAUGCCACUGCUGCUGCUCAUAUAUCUGCACAUAUGCCUCAGAUAGUGCAACCAUUUGGGGAAGAGUUUCAGAAACAUGCAGAUCCUGCAUCUCAUACCAUAGCUCCUCUGAUUUCCGCUGCACAAAAACUCUAUAGAAUCCUUCCUUGGGUUUUCCAUCAUGAACAAUAUUGGCAAUCAAAUCAUACUUGGAACGCAAUUUCUCAUUCUCUUUAGGCAUUGGCAAAGGCAUAUAAUCCUUCAGUUCCAAGUUCUUCACAGGAAAGUUGACUGUAAUAUUAACAUCAAUUAGCACUGCCUCAUGCCCAACCAAGCCAAGGUACUUUUUUGUCCGUGUCGCUAGAUUCACAAUACAAAUGCCAAAUAAAGCUCACCUAAGGUUGGAUUUUUCUCAAUAAAAAAGUUGUUCUUUUUGAACCGCUGCAUAUGGAGUAUCAAAUACUGUGGCAAUCUAGUGACUCGAUAUUUCAUCCGGGCUACAAAAGGGCGGACAACUUCAGUCACCAUCGCACCAUCAAAUUUCUUCAGUAUAUUGAACAAAGGAACCUGGGGUAUUAUAUUCUUUUCCAUCACAUCUUUAAAUAGAGGCGGUGGUGGCAAAUCUAGUCCAAGCAUCAAGAAUGGCAUUCUAGAUGUUUCUGUGACAACAUCAUGAUGUUCAUUCCCACCAUCAGUAUUUUUUGGAAUGCCAUUCUGGGCAUCACCAUUUUCCUUCUUAUCAGCUAUAACUUUACUAGGAAUCUCUUUUACAACUUCUAGCUCCCCCUGAAAGCACUCAUAAAUGAUGCUGUUAUUUUUCUUAGAAGUUCUAAGAUCUUCAUGUAGUGUAUUAAGAAGCCAUGCCAUGAACUCCACAGGAUCAGACUGUUGCCCUAUGCGAAACCGUUUUUUACUGGCUUUCAUAACUGCUUGGAGAAAUUCAUGCGGGCUCACCUGUCCUUUAAAGUUCCUAGCAUGCCAUAUCUUCCGCGUGAGUUCUCCAAAACGAUGAACAAGAGAAGAUCUGCAAUGCUGAUAAUUUUCAGGGAUAAGGAAGAAAUUUCUUAAGGGUGUAACUCUCAUUAGAGACUGAAUAGUGACAUUGACAAAAUCAGUCUCUUUAAUGUUAUUCAGGCCCACCUGUAGAUUUCCAAAAUCAAGGAACAAAUUUAACACUGUUCAACUGCCAGAAAUGGCAUGCAUCUUACUACAUAUCCAAGUUUGACAUAGGCAAUAACUCAGCAACGAUCAUAUGAUGAAUCAGUGUUGAAAGCAUACCAUUCCAGGAAGAUAAUCAGACCCAUCAAGUGCCCUGGACCAUUGUCUAUUUUUGUCAAGUUGCUCAACCUGAUCCCUAGUAAACCUGCAUAAAGAGAUACCCUUGGGUUCAGAACAUGCCGUAUGUCAUCUAGUGAUGGGUCAAUAAUUUCAUAUCCAUCAGGAAGGCAGUAAACUUUCUCAGUCUGAAGAUUAAUGUAGACAUGGUGUCCAGCUUCAAGGCUAUGAGUAUAUGCAUGGGAUUUCUUCCCUCUCCCUUGGUAAUAUUUCCCACAAACCAAACACGCAUACACAUUCAGGUUUGACAAAGAGACAGAGCAAAAUUUCUCGAAAUCAAAAUCCAACACCUAAAACCAAAUUGCAUUAAAGAAGCCCCAAAACAAAACAUGUACCUACACAAACAUAUGUAUAACUGCAUAAAAACGAAAAUCACAUAUUAUCAGAAAAAAAUAAAUAGUUUACCUGACGAUUCACUGUAUCAAGAUAGGGGCAAUCUUCACGAGGCUCAAUUUGACUCCUCCGGAUCUCUUGAUUGGACCCUUGUCCAUCAUCAUCAUCAUCAUCAUCUUUGCCAUCGUCCUUUGGCCUCAGGAAAAGCAGAGAGUAGCGAAGAAAGGAGAAGGGAAUUUAAUCUUUCGACGGGAUUUGAUUCAAUUAAGUAAUAAAAGAAUUUGUAUUUUCUCUUAUUGCUCAAAAGAAGUCGAAGUCACAGCGGAUCUGAUCAGUGAUCAGGACUCGUUUCUAUUUAACCAAAAAAAAAAAAUUGAAAAACUCCUAGCCAGCCCCCAAUUUUUAUUUUAUUUUUUCUUAUUACUACCAAAAAAAAAAUUUCCUAAACCUUCAAAAUGAACACAUUUUACGAUUACAAAAUUAUUUUUUAUUUUUUUUA
Molecule: unclassified non-coding RNA, 2580 nt
Filed under: Hevea brasiliensis (rubber tree)
Lineage: Eukaryota; Viridiplantae; Streptophyta; Magnoliopsida; Malpighiales; Euphorbiaceae
Source: RNAcentral